This 82-nucleotide transfer RNA is filed under the name Pseudofabraea citricarpa. Its description in RNAcentral is "tRNA-Leu". The record is from RNAcentral. Lineage: Eukaryota; Fungi; Ascomycota; Leotiomycetes; Helotiales; Dermateaceae.
AUCCGAGUGCUGGAAUGGUAGACAGGGCGAGUUUAAGCUUCGCUGAUUUAUUAUCAUAAACGUUCAAGUCGUUUCUCGGAUA